UAUGGUUUGAUCUGACCUAGACAGUAGUUCUCAGGCUUUUUUUUGGUCAUUCACCAUUUUGAAUUAGUGGAGUUUUUUAAGCCCCACCCACCUCCAUCACACCAACAUAAACCUACAAAAAUAACGUCUGAAAACACAGUUUAAAGUGCAGUUGUGCCAUCAUCACUUGAACCUUGAAAAUGUCUUCACAUUUAUAGCUCCUCACAUGUCACGUCUCGGUUCACCUCCAGAGGGGUGCGAAGAAACUGGAUUUAAAAACAGAACUUGAUGCUGAAACAACACUGAGAAGAAAAAUACCCUGUGUCUUCACUUUGUUACUGCAACAGAACCUGAACCAACAGUGGAAGAAAACUUGUCUGUCGCCUCUUCAGUAAAGCCGUCCCCCGAAGGCUGGAAAAUAUGGACUGCAGUUUCAGGACUUCUUUUUUCCUGAUUCCAUCUGCAGACGUUUAUGUUAUUGUUUAAACACCGUCUCCUUAAAUGCACUUUCAGUAAAACCGGGUCAUUUGUCCACUCACACCAUAAAACCUGUAAUCCAUGACAGCUCAGGUGGAGUGUACCGUAUAUGAGUGACUCUUAUCAGCACACUGCAGUAUCCUUUAUUAGGUUGUACUGGUGUGGUAAAAGUGGCCCCAUAACUGCAGUCUGCAGGAACCACGGACAGUUUUGUGAAUGAAUAUUUCACAGGGUCGUUGGACACAUUAAGAUAAGUACAUUCUAUUAUUCCCAUCUCCUCCCAGUGUUAAAUGAAGUGAUUCAUGCUGAAGUCAUUACUGGACGUGGAUUUUAAAAAGUCACAGUCAAAAUUGUUGCUCACAUUCAACUCUCAUUGGUCUGCAGGAGCGACAGGGAUUUCUAAAGUUAAUCCUACAUUAAAUUGAUUUUUUAAUUUUUAUACAAUGUCAGAACUGGACAGAAACCUUAAAAAGAAGACGUUAUAAAACUGAAUAGUGGCCAAAACACUGGAGAGGUGGUUCAAGAUGACACUUCACAGCAAUAAUAUCGCUGGCCUGAGCACAGUCUUGGACAGAUGGAGCCUCGGCGUGUGUGUAUGUUCUCACUGAAACACACUGAUUAGGGAUUAGGGUUAAUAGGUGUGAAUGUGAGUUUGAGUUGUUGUUUGUCCCCAAAUACGACACAGCAAAGACCUGGCAAAAUGUCAGCGAUGUAAUCUGUCUUCAUCGGACAUCAGCUUUGAUCAGCAGCCGAGGAUAGAUGGCUAUUUAAUAUGCGCAAACCACAACAACUCAUUCUGCUUUGGUCUUUACGGAACACUGAAUAUUAUAAAUGUUAAGAAAAAUUGAUUGUUUGGGAACAGGAACCUCAAGAAGUUUCUUUGUUCGUUUUAACAAUUUUUACAAGUUUUUCAGUUUGUUUGAUUUAACCGGUUAGCACGUGUCACAAUGACAAUAAAUAAAUUUCAGUAGUGUUUUGUUUUUUUUUUUCAGAUUUUGCAUUUGUCUAUCUGUAUUAUUUUGGCCACUGUUUCUCUCAAAUAAAUACUUCUCGCCAAAUCCAGGUUUUAUCAGUCUGUGGAUUUUCAGAAAAACAUCAAAAUGCCAGAACUCUGACUCAGGGUGGAAUCCUCAGCUGAGAGAGUGCAGUGUGUAACCUGGCUGGCACACACUGAGGUUCAUGACAGAGAAUAUUGAAAUAGUCACAGACUCAGAAAUCUCACAUUUGCAUGAAAUUCACUGUGGAAAACAGAAGUCACACAGAACCUCGUUAUGUGGAUGAACGGCUGCAACAUUUGGUUUCAUUUGCAGCACUAGAGCAACUCAGUAAAAAUAUACAGGGAUUACGAUGGAACAGGGUUUUUAUGAUAAUGAAAAUGUCUCAGUGGGCCGCGGUGGCGAGUGUCUCCACUUCAUUUGAUCAAGUCUGAACUGAGCCUCUCCUUUCAGAGAGAAACUUUCGUUUCAAACAGCAGAAAUUCAAAAUGACAUUUUUUCAGCACGGUGCCUGAGGGGGAGAGGUGUUUGUUGCCUCGGGUUUUGUGAUUCACAUCAGGAAGGUUGACUAUUCUUCCUGCCUAAUGUGCCACACUGUGCCACAGCUGCUUAAGUAAAAGGCUGUUUACUCUGUAAUGUAGCUUGACUUUCACAGCACGCUGCAAUUUAAGGAUGCAUGAAUGUUGUCCUUUACAGAUUAUGGGUAACUAACGUCUGAGUAAAUAUCUGCCGAGGGGCAAUAGUUGUGUCUCAAAAGAGGUCGGCCUCAACGCAGUCACUUCUUUUGCACAAACAUGCAAAGCAGGGCUGUGGUAUGUCCAGAUUUGUCUUCAGGUGUAAACCUCUGUUCUGUAGUUCUCCUCAGACAAUAAGACAUUUGAACCGUUCUUGUUCAAAUCAGAGCAAAAUAAAUUGGAAAUCAACUAAUUACAAAAUUAACAUAGGCAGCUGUGAAGUCCAACAGAACCAGUUCUGCUACAAUUCUGUGAUAGUGUGUAGUAUUUUCUAUGCAAGUACUAUCUGUAUACGGUAUCAAUGUUUGGACAUUUAGGACCAGGAACUAUUCAUAAACCAUCAGUGCCUACUGAGCUGACCUAGAUGGAGACCAGGUAUUACAUAUGCAGUCAAGUAGUUCUCAUAACUUCCAGAUAUGUAAAAACAAAUUAUCAUGAACCAAACAGAUAAAUGACAAGUACACAAAUCGGAAUUUCAACAACUUUUACUUUGAAAGGAUAAAAGCUGAAGAAAAAUACAUAAAAUAUACAAAGAUCCAUCCCAGAUUAAAAAGAAAAAACAAAAACAGAGUGACAAAUAAUAGUCUUUUUUCACCUCUUGUCCAUUUUGAUUUUAACCACUUUACAGAAGGUUUGGAAGAAGAAAAAAACUCCACAGGUUAUAAAAACUUUCCUCGUUCAAAAGCCAAACAUAUAUAUAUA
This is a long non-coding RNA of Cynoglossus semilaevis (tongue sole), 2887 nucleotides long. RefSeq lists it as uncharacterized. The record is from RefSeq and is a predicted model, not a curated record. Lineage: Eukaryota; Metazoa; Chordata; Actinopteri; Pleuronectiformes; Cynoglossidae. The transcript has 2 exons.